Molecule: long non-coding RNA, 913 nt
Filed under: Homo sapiens (human)
Lineage: Eukaryota; Metazoa; Chordata; Mammalia; Primates; Hominidae
Description: long non-coding RNA NONHSAT199194.1
Source: RNAcentral
CACUGGGGAAAAGAUUAUAUCCAAAACUUUUGGAUUGCUCGACAUUAGAUGUUAACUCUGAGCUAAUACUAAUUUCCAGGGACCCAGAAUGAACUUAUCAAUGGAUAUCAGGGGAUGACGUGGCCUUUGCCAUUGCUGAGAACCCAUUUUGCACGCAAUGGUUUCCCGGAUAAUAAAUGACACAGCUGGGAUUUAUUCAGGUGUUCUGACUCCAAAGUCCUUGCUCCUGAUCACCAUGCGCUACCGACUUUGAGCAGUGAUGUCUCACAGAUGGGAAUGAUUCCUCUGAAGGUUGAAUAGAGAAUGCCACCAUGUGAAGUGAUAUUUGAGCUGGAACCUGAGUGAAUGAUGGAAUGGAGAAGUCAGGUACAGAGCUGUGGGGAUAGCAUCACAGGUUAGAAGCACUGUUGAUUUCACCACAGAUAAAUAUUUUGUUUGCUAUUCUUGAAUAUGUAUACUCAAGGGGAGUUAUUGACCAGUUUGAAUGACAACGAAGCCUUUACAAAGAAAAGAUUUAGCUAGUGGGCAGAACUGACCUGGACCUGGCCUGUAACAGUUACUUCAAGAAGCAGGAAAAAAACCUAAAUGUUUCUACUGUUUACUACCCAGGACUGAACAGAAGUAGCUGUGCAACCACCACUAGAAGCCUUCUGAGCGUGUUACUGAAGAGGAUGAGGCAGGAGGCUUCCAGAGGCAACAGCCAAGACUAAGCCAUCAACCACAGGGCCAAACCCAGUAAAAAAGAAAAAUAAGAACACUUCCACUUAAAGAACUGCUGCAAUUAUACUGUUCCUUUUUUUUUUCCAUUAACAUGUCUUUCCUUUUAUGAUGGCGAGAGUUAAUAUUAAGGUGUGCAUAUAUGUUUGUUAAACGAUCUCAUUUUGCAAUUAAAAGUUUGCACUUAUAUUAAUAC